UGGAGGAGGGCGGGUGGAGAUUUUUUUCUUUUGCACCCUGCAAUCAGGCAGAAUUUAUGCCUGGGAUGUAAAGUCAAAUUGUUAAACAUCUGAAAGUAAAUGUAAUACGUUAAUGUAAUAAAAUACAAAAGGUACAUAAUGUUCCAAUAAUUACAGAGGAAGUAUUUAGCAAAAAUCCAAUGUCCUUUCAUUACAAAACCACUCAACAAACUAGGUGCAAAAGGGAACUUCCUCGACCUGAUAAGAGUAUCUGUGAAAAACACACAUUAAUGUCAUAACUCAUAUGAAAAUAUCAUCAUGAGAUCCAGGGGCAGUGCACAUGGAGGCUGAGACAGGAGGAUCACAAGUUCAAAGUCAGCCUUGUCAAAAGGGAGGCGCCAAACAACUCAGUGAGACCCUGUCACUAAAUAAAAUACAAAAAAUAGGGCUGUGGAUGUGGCCCAGUGUCAAGUGCCCCUGAGUUCAAUCCCCACUGCUUCCCAUAACCCCCCAAAAAUAUGGUGCAAUAUCACCCUGUGAUAUCAUGUUGAAAGCUGAAUGCUUUUUGUCAAAUGUCAGGAUGACUGCUUUUACUACUGUUACUACUUCUAUUCAGCAUUGUGCUGGAAGUUCUGGCCAAGGCAAUUAGGCAAGGGAAAAAAGAAGUUAAGAUUGGAAAGGAAGAAGUAAAGCUAUCUCUAUUC
RNAcentral lists this long non-coding RNA (683 nucleotides) under Marmota monax (woodchuck). Lineage: Eukaryota; Metazoa; Chordata; Mammalia; Rodentia; Sciuridae. The record is from RNAcentral.